UUGUAGAAUCAACCGCGGGAAGCAGGACAUGAAGCGAUACAGAGGAAGCAGGAAGAAAAAGAGACCGACACAUGGUGGACUUUUCCGACGCAUGGUGGACUUUUCCCGGAGUACCGAUGUGGUGAUGCUUGACUGACAAAGACUGGGGGAAACGGUGUUUUAUGUCCUGCCGCGAUGUGUAUAUGUGAACUAGCUCAGCUAGCUCAAAGAUUUCUAUGUGCUGCCUUUCUGAUAUGUUUGCUGCCAUCAUGUCAGUGAAACAGGAUCACAGCUGAAGAAGAGGCUACAAGAGGUUUCCCAGAGACUAUGGGUUGAGGAGGAAUUGGAAGUUUGUCGGCUUAGACCUGGUGUCAUUCCAUCAGUGUUAAACUUCCCAGCUCAUCUUGGAAGAGUACGUGCCAGAAAGACCACGACCAAGCAGCCUUGAGAUCUUAGGCAGCGUCUCCCUGAGACCAAAGAACUACAGACUCUUCACAACCUGCUCAAACUCUUGGUACAGGACCUCACCACACGGGUCAAGAAGGUUUCCUUCUCAUUUCUACUCUGAAGCUCACCUUCUCCUGCUCAAACUGCUGACAAAUGUUUCUGCUGCUCUAAAGUCUGGUCUCCAGAACUUCCUAAAAACUCUCAAAGUCUCUUCUGCUGCAGGUUGCUUUGUAGAACUGUUCCAGAAAACCUCACUAAACCACAUGGAGGGGCCUCAAGAUAGUCG
Amphiprion ocellaris (clown anemonefish) is the source of this 712-nucleotide long non-coding RNA. The record is from Ensembl. Lineage: Eukaryota; Metazoa; Chordata; Actinopteri; Pomacentridae.